RNAcentral lists this ribosomal RNA (290 nucleotides) under uncultured bacterium. Its description in RNAcentral is "partial 16S ribosomal RNA". It matches the Rfam family "Bacterial small subunit ribosomal RNA", at positions 775 to 1067 of the family's 1533-position model. The record is from RNAcentral.
GGAUUAGAUACCCUGGUAGUCCACGCCGUAAACGAUGUCUACUUGGAGGUUGGGACCUUGAGUUCUGGCUUUCGGAGCUAACGCGUUAAGUAGACCGCCUGGGGAGUACGGUCGCAAGGCUAAAACUCAAAGGAAUUGACGGGGGCCCGCACAAGCGGUGGAGUAUGUGGUUUAAUUCGAUGAUACGCGAGGAACCUUACCUGGGCUUAAAUGUAGGAUGACUGGUUUGGAAACAGACCUUUCUUCGGACAUCUUACAAGGUGCUGCAUGGUUGUCGUCAGCUCGUGUUG